AGAGUUUGAUCCUGGCUCAGGAUGAACGCUAGCGACAGGCUUAACACAUGCAAGUCGAGGGGCAGCGGGGGCGUAGCAAUAUGCCUGCCGGCGACCGGCGCACGGGUGAGUAACACGUAUGUAACCUGCCCUAUGCAGGGGGAUAACCCGGAGAAAUCCGGCCUAAUACCGCGUAACACCUUAGGGGAGCAUUCUCUUGAGGUUAAAGGAGAGAUCCGGCAUAGGAUGGACAUGCGUCGCAUUAGGUAGACGGCGGGGUAACGGCCCACCGUGCCGAAGAUGCGUAGGGGUUCUGAGAGGAAGGCCCCCCACACUGGUACUGAGACACGGACCAGACUCCUACGGGAGGCAGCAGUGAGGAAUAUUGGUCAAUGGCCGAGAGGCUGAACCAGCCAAGUCGCGUGAGGGAAGAAUGUCCUAAGGAUUGUAAACCUCUUUUGUCGGGGAGCAAAAAGGCUCUGCGGAGUCGUAUUGAGAGUACCCGAAGAAAAAGCAUCGGCUAACUCCGUGCCAGCAGCCGCGGUAAUACGGAGGAUGCGAGCGUUAUCCGGAUUUAUUGGGUUUAAAGGGUGCGCAGGCGGCGUGUCAAGCAAGCGGUAAAAUAGCGGGGCUCAACCCCGUCGAGCCGUUUGAACUGGCGCGCUUGAGUUCAGGCGAGGUAGGCGGAAUUCGUGGUGUAGCGGUGAAAUGCAUAGAUAUCACGAAGAACUCCGAUUGCGAAGGCAGCUUACCAGUCUGCGACUGACGCUCAGGCACGAAAGUGUGGGUAUCGAACAGGAUUAGAUACCCUGGUAGUCCACACAGUAAACGAUGAGCGCUAGGUGUCCGGGUCGCAUGAGACUUGGGUGCCCGAGCGAAAGCGUUAAGCGCUCCACCUGGGGAGUACGCCGGCAACGGUGAAACUCAAAGGAAUUGACGGGGGCCCGCACAAGCGGAGGAACAUGUGGUUUAAUUCGAUGAUACGCGAGGAACCUUACCCGGGCUCAAACGACUCAGGAAUAUAUUGGAAACGAUGUAGCCAGCAAUGGUCUGAGUCGAGGUGCUGCAUGGUUGUCGUCAGCUCGUGCCGUGAGGUGUCGGCUUAAGUGCCAUAACGAGCGCAACCCCUACCGCCAGUUGCCAACGGGUAAAGCCGGGAACUCUGGCGGGACUGCCGGCGCAAGCUGCGAGGAAGGCGGGGAUGACGUCAAAUCAGCACGGCCCUUACGUCCGGGGCGACACACGUGUUACAAUGGCAGGUACAGCGGGAAGCCACCUGGUGACAGGGAGCGGAACCCGAAAGCCUGUCUCAGUUCGGAUUGGAGUCUGCAACUCGACUCCAUGAAGCUGGAUUCGCUAGUAAUCGCGCAUCAGCCAUGGCGCGGUGAAUACGUUCCCGGGCCUUGUACUCACCGCCCGUCAAG
RNAcentral lists this ribosomal RNA (1403 nucleotides) under uncultured bacterium. RNAcentral's name for it is "bacterial SSU rRNA". It matches the Rfam family "Bacterial small subunit ribosomal RNA". The record is from RNAcentral.